Molecule: ribosomal RNA, 768 nt
Filed under: Absconditella lignicola
Lineage: Eukaryota; Fungi; Ascomycota; Lecanoromycetes; Ostropales; Stictidaceae
Description: SSU rRNA
Rfam family: Bacterial small subunit ribosomal RNA
Source: RNAcentral
AUGUAUAGCGCAAGCUAGUUAUAUUUAUAAUAUAUAAUGUGGGAUAGUCCAGUAAAGUUAUAGGUAGUAAUUGAUAAUGACAUAUACUAUCUCCAGGUUUUGACCAAAUCAUGUGCCAGCAGUCGCGGCAACACAUGGAAAACUAGUGUUAUUCAUCUUUAUUUGGUUUAAAGGGUACCUAGACGAUUAAAUAAUUCCAAUUAGAAAAAUAAGGAAACUGUUUAACUAGAGUUUAAUGUAAGAAGAAAAGAACGAGUAGAGUAGAGAUAAAAUUCGUUGAUCCACUCCGUAAACUGAUAAAUGCGAAGGCGAUCUUUUAUGUAUAAACUGACGUUGAGGGACGAAGGCUACGGCAAACGAACAGGAUUAGAUACCCAAGUAAUGAGUGCAGACAAUGAUGAAUGUCAUAUGUAGGACAAUAUGUUUUAUGUAUAAAUGAAAGUGUAAGCAUUCCACCUCAAGAGUAACGUGGCAACGCAGGAACUGAAAUCAUUAGACCGUUUCUGAGACCAGUAGUGAAGUAUGUUAUUUAAUUUGAUAAUCCACAAAAAACCUUACCACAAUAUGAAUAUACAGUAUAAUAUAUGUAUAGUAUGGUAUCAAAUUUACAUAUAUAGUAUGAUACCUACGUGUACUGUAUACUAGCGUUGCACGGCUGUCUUCAGUUGAUGUAGUGAUACUAUGGUUAGCUCCAUAAAAUCAACGUAAACCCUUAUUUUAUUUAAAAUAAAAUUUUGUUCUAUUCUAUAGAAAUUUAUAACAGGGAUU